GAUCCUGGCUCAGAUUAAACGCUGGCGGCAUGCCUUACACAUGCAAGUCGAACGGCAGCACGGGGGCAACCUGGUGGCGAGUGGCGAACGGGUGAGUAAUGCAUCGGAACGUGCCAUUGAGUGGGGGAUAACGUAGCGAAAGUUGCGCUAAUACCGCAUAUUCUGUGAGCAGGAAAGCAGGGGGACCGCAAGGCCUUGCGCUCUUUGAGCGGCCGAUGUCAGAUUAGCUAGUUGGUGAGGUAACGGCUUACCAAGGCGACGAUCUGUAGCGGGUCUGAGAGGAUGAUCCGCCACACUGGAACUGAGACACGGUCCAGACUCCUACGGGAGGCAGCAGUGGGGAAUUUUGGACAAUGGGCGCAAGCCUGAUCCAGCCAUGCCGCGUGAGUGAAGAAGGCCUUCGGGUUGUAAAGCUCUUUCGGCCGGGAAGAAAUCGCAUGGGUUAAUACCCUGUGUGGAUGACGGUACCGGAAUAAGAAGCACCGGCUAACUACGUG
RNAcentral lists this ribosomal RNA (497 nucleotides) under uncultured bacterium. Its description in RNAcentral is "bacterial SSU rRNA". It matches the Rfam family "Bacterial small subunit ribosomal RNA", at positions 15 to 507 of the family's 1533-position model. The record is from RNAcentral.